GGUUCUUGAGAUAUUUUGAUUUUCUUUUCCGGCUCCAUAUAUUUUUUUUUGAAAAAAAUCAUAAGUCUACUAUUUUCAACUCAAAUCGUCUGAAACUUAUAACUUAGCAUAAACACACUAAGCAAAACCCAUUUCAAUCAAAAAAAUCUUAAAAUGUUGACUUUUGAUUUUGUGCUUUUUCCAUAGAAACAAUUAAUGAUUUAAAAAAAAAGCCGCACCCGUGACGGAUAUAUGUAUAUGCCAAAAAAAUCACAAAUAAUUCGUAGUAUAAUCACCUGCGAGGAUAUUACCGUUUAUAUCGCGGUUCUUGAGUAAUAAUGUUUUCUUUUCCGGCUCCAUAUAUUUUUUUUUGAAAAAAAUCAUAAGUCUACUAUUUUCAACUCAAAUCGUCUGAAACUUAUAACUUAGCAUAAACACACUAAGCAAAACCCAUUUCAAUCAAAAAAAUCUUAAAAUGUUGACUUUUGAUUUUGUGCUUUUUCCAUAGAAACAAUUAAUGAUUUAAAAAAAAAGCCGCACCCGUGACGGAUAUAUGUAGUAUGCCAAAAAAAUCACAAAUAAUUCGUGGAAUAAACGUUCGCGAGUAUAUUACCGUAUUUGUUGCGGUUCUUGAGAUAUUUUGAUUUUUUGUUCGGCUCCAUACAUUUUUUUUGAAAAAAAUCAUAACUCUACUAUUUUCAACUCAAAUCGUCUGAAACUUAUAACUUAGCAUAAACACACUAAGAAAAACCCAUUUCAAUCAAAAAAUCUUAAAAUGUUGACUUUUGAUUUUGUGCUUUUUCCAUAGAAACAAUUAUUGAUUUAAAAAAAAAAAGCCGCACCCGUGACGGAUAUAUGUAGUAUGCCAAAAAAAUCACAAAUAAUUCGUAGUAUAAUCACCUGCGAGGAUAUUACCGUUUAUAUCGCGGUUCUUGAGUAAUAAUGUUUUCUUGUUCCUGCUCCAUACAUUUUUUUUGAAAAAAAUUCGUAACUCGACAAUUUUCAUUUCAAAUCGUCUAAAAUUCAUAGGU
Molecule: long non-coding RNA, 1010 nt
Organism: Cydia amplana
Lineage: Eukaryota; Metazoa; Arthropoda; Insecta; Lepidoptera; Tortricidae
Exons: 2
Source: RefSeq, a predicted model, not a curated record